Molecule: ribosomal RNA, 2004 nt
Filed under: Triticum aestivum (bread wheat)
Lineage: Eukaryota; Viridiplantae; Streptophyta; Magnoliopsida; Poales; Poaceae
Description: partial small subunit ribosomal RNA
Source: RNAcentral
AUGAGGCUCGAGUUUCUCUAUCUUCAUUUGAACCAGUUGUCAGGCCAGAUCCCUCCUCAGAUGAUGCUACGCAGGCGUAACCUUACACAGAUUAAUCUGUACGGGAACGGCUUGAGUGGACAAAUACCUCCGUAUUUGUUCAACAACACGGCUAUGUUGACGUUCAUUAAUUUUGGAAACAAUAGUCUCUCAGGUCCUCCACACGCCGUUACAUCACUAUCCAUGCUUGAAUUAUUAAGACUGGAUUUUAAUCAACUCUCUGGCCUAGUGCCACAAGCCAUGUUCAACAUGUCUAGAUUACAGGAAAUUCCACUAGUAAAUAAUCGUAACCUGACUAGAACUUUUCCGAGCAAUCAAAGUUUCAGCCUCCCUAUGUUACAGUUUAUUUCCAUAUAUGGUAACAAAUUUGCCGGUCGGUUACCAUCAGGGUUUGCAUCAUGUCAAUACCUACAAGUAAUUGAUUUGCACGAAAAUUCUUUUGUGGAUGUUCUGCCAACAUGGUUGGCCAAAUUGACAAACCUCAAAAAACUUAACUUGGGUUUUAAUCACCUUAUUGGCUCGAUCCCGGCGGCCUUUGGUAAUCUUACAAAACUCACUCAACUACAACUCGCAAACGGCAGUCUAACAGGUGAGAUUCCACCAGAAUUAGGUCUUAUGCAGGAACUCUCUUAUCUAGAUCUUCAAUACAACCAAUUGAUUGGUAAAUUUCCAGCUUCGCUCGGUAACUUAUCCAAAUUGUCCUACCUAAAUUUCCAAGUGAAUCAGUUGUCCGGUCAAGUACCAUCAAUGCUUGGAACAAAUACAGUUUUGAAUAUUCUUGCUUUGGGAGACAACAAUUUAGAGGGGAAUCUAGAUUUCUUGUCAGCUCUUUCCAAGUGCAGACAACUCCAAUUCCUUGAUUUUGAAAAAAAUCGUUUUACAGGCACCAUCCCUGGUUAUGUGGGAAAAUUCUCAACACGUUUAAACUAUUUUGGUGCAGGUGCCAACCAGUUGACAGGUGGACUUCCAGUAGCAAUUUCAAAUAUAAGCAACCUUCUAUGGAUUGAUUUUCGGGAUAACCUAUUCACCGAGCCAAUUCCAGAAUCUAUCACUAUGCUGGAAAAUCUUGCAUGGCUUGAUCUCUCCUGGAAUAACAUGCCAGGCCCUAUCCCUACACAAAUGGGUAUGCUUCGAAGUCUAGAACGAUUGUUUCUCCAAGCCAACAAAUUAUCAGGCUCCAUACCAAGAAACUUUGGUAAUCUUAGUUGGUUAGAAAGCAUAGACUUGUCAUAUAACCAGUUAAGCUCAACGAUACCAACGAGUUUCUUCCACCUGGAUAAACUUAUCACACUUGAUCUUUCACACAAUUCCUUUACCGGUGAAGUACCGGUAGAUGUUACUGGCCUAAGACAAACAUAUCAAAUAGACAUGUCUUCUAACUUGUUGAUAGGAAGCAUACCAGAAACAUUUGGACAACUUAGUAUGCUUACUUACCUAAAUCUAUCACAUAACUCCUUCAAAGGCUCAAUUCCAGUUCAUCUCGAAAAAGUAAAAAGACUAGCAUCAUUGGACCUCUCGUUUAACAAUCUUUCGGGUACAAUUCCAGUGUUCCUUGCUAACUUUACGUACUUGAAUACCUUGAACCUAUCGUUCAAUAGGCUAGAAGGACAAAUACCCGAGGGAGGUGUUUUCUCAAACCUCACAUUGAAAUCUUUGGUUGGGAAUCCUGGGCUAUGCGGCGCUCCGCGACUAAGAUUUCCACCAUGCCUUGAUAGAAAUCAUUCAAGUAAAAGACACUUGCUUCAAUUUCUACUGCCAACACUCAUAUUAGCUUUUGGCGCCAUUGCCAUUUACGUAUACCUAUGGUUCAGAAAGAAACUUAAGAAGGGAAAGGACAAUGCUUCUGUUGAUCCAACUGAUGCCAUAGGCCAUCAAAUAGUCUCCUAUCAUGAGCUUGUUCGCGUCACCAAUAAUUUCAGUGAUGAAACACAUCUUGGGAUGCGGAAGCUUUGGAAAAGUUUUUAA